UAAUUCUUCAAUUGCAAGCUUGAUUCAGUGCUCGUUGGGCAUUUCAAAGUGUUGGAAGUUGAAGCAUUUGGUCAAAAAACGCGUGGUUUGACGCGUCUCGUUGAGUGGUAAACCUCGUUGAGCAAAAUCGUAGCAGGUUCACCCUUCCACUUCAACGCACAAUUAUGCCACCAAUUCGCAAUAGAAAGGCUUCAAACUCUAUAGAGGGGGAGAGAGAGAGAGAGAGAGAGAGAGAGAAGACUUGAGCUCGUGAUAAAAUCUCUUCAAUUCAUGAGACUGCAUGACUGCAUGACUGCAAUGUUCCACAUACUACUCUAUAUCAUCAACUAAAGGGACAGCCUUCAAGGGUGAAUUUACACUCAAACUCCACUAAAUUAA
Molecule: small RNA, 378 nt
Filed under: Histoplasma capsulatum var. duboisii H88
Lineage: Eukaryota; Fungi; Ascomycota; Eurotiomycetes; Onygenales; Ajellomycetaceae
Description: Histoplasma capsulatum H88 hypothetical RNA
Source: RNAcentral